This is a non-coding RNA of Acanthosepion pharaonis, 112 nucleotides long. Lineage: Eukaryota; Metazoa; Mollusca; Cephalopoda; Sepiida; Sepiidae. The record is from the annotation of a GenBank genome assembly.
UAUGGCCAUAUCCCGAUGAAUCACCGGUUCUCAUACGACCACCGAAUUUAAGUUAGGUCAAGCCUGGUCUCUACCUAGAUGGGUGACUGCUUGGGAAUAUCAGGUGCUAUAA